Hemicordylus capensis (graceful crag lizard) is the source of this 803-nucleotide long non-coding RNA. RefSeq lists it as uncharacterized. The transcript is spliced from 4 exons. Lineage: Eukaryota; Metazoa; Chordata; Lepidosauria; Squamata; Cordylidae. The record is from RefSeq and is a predicted model, not a curated record.
UCUAUUGCUGCUCUUCAGCUAGUGAGUUGGGACCAAGGAGGAAGUGAAUCUGAAGCAAGCCCAAAAACUGGUUCCGGGAGCAAUUUUUUAGUGAACUGAAACUGAACGUAAAAUCUCUCGAUAGCCUGGAAGCUGAACUGGGACAGAAGAGAAAAUCUGGGAACUGGUUCCGCCAGGCCUUGAAAAAUUUUGUUUGGAUCUAGGAACCAGCCCCAAAGUUUAGGGGACAGACGAUGGAAACUUGACAAAAUUACUGGACUUAAUGACAGACAUUGUGGAGGGGAAGGAUACACAGGCUUCCGUUUUCCUUCUUUAGUACCCUGGAGGGAAAAGCUGGGACCAGACUGAGCCACCAGCCUCUUUCAUCCAUAAUCAGAUGAUGGAUGAUUUUGAUUUAUUCUGGACUGACCUGGCAUUACAAAGGAGCAAGAAUACAGAGGCAGAGAGAGCAAAGCAGAGGGAAAGGGUGACUGGAUUCAAAGAAGAGAAGCAUUCCUUAAUUGUUCUGGAAGAGGAGAGAUUUUGCAAGAAUUGUCACUCAAAUAAAUCAUAGUCAAUCAGUUAAAUCUGCACAUGAAUUUUAAAAAGCAAAUUUAUUCUCCUUGUCAAUGUUAGAGCUGCACCAUCUAAGAUGGUCUUCAGAAGAGCACUGAAGAUCCAUCUCUUCAGUCAGGCUUUUAGUUGAAUUUUAAAUUUGAUUUUAAUUUUAAUCAUGUUUUUAACUGUUGAUUUUAUUGUUUAUGGUUGUUUUUAAUUCAUUGUAAACAGCCAUGAGAUGUUUGGUGGCAUAUAAAUGCAGUAAA